AUUGAACGCUGGCGGCAUGCCUUACACAUGCAAGUCGAACGGCAGCACGGGAGCAAUCCUGGUGGCGAGUGGCGAACGGGUGAGUAAUACAUCGGAACGUGCCCAGUAGUGGGGGAUAACCCGGCGAAAGCCGGACUAAUACCGCAUACGACCUACGGGUGAAAGCGGGGGAUCGCAAGACCUCGCGCUAUCGGAGCGGCCGAUGUCAGAUUAGCUAGUUGGUGGGGUAAAGGCCUACCAAGGCGACGAUCUGUAGCUGGUCUGAGAGGACGACCAGCCACACUGGGACUGAGACACGGCCCAGACUCCUACGGGAGGCAGCAGUGGGGAAUUUUGGACAAUGGGCGCAAGCCUGAUCCAGCCAUGCCGCGUGCGGGAAGAAGGCCUUCGGGUUGUAAACCGCUUUUGUCAGGGAAGAAACGCUCCGGGCUAAUACCACGGAGUAAUGACGGUACCUUAAGAAUAAGCACCGGCUAACUACGUG
This 484-nucleotide ribosomal RNA is filed under the name uncultured bacterium. Its description in RNAcentral is "partial 16S ribosomal RNA". It matches the Rfam family "Bacterial small subunit ribosomal RNA", at positions 29 to 507 of the family's 1533-position model. The record is from RNAcentral.